Molecule: long non-coding RNA, 433 nt
Organism: Marmota flaviventris (yellow-bellied marmot)
Lineage: Eukaryota; Metazoa; Chordata; Mammalia; Rodentia; Sciuridae
Source: RefSeq, a predicted model, not a curated record
AGAAUGUAUUCAACUAAAGGAACAAAACAGUGUGGAGCCACUGUGGAGUCUUAGCCUCAGAGGUCACGGGCUCUACAUUUCUCCCUCCAAUGUCCUAGACACUUCACAGAUACCAAAACUUCACGUGCAAUGAACGGACGUCUGUGGUGGAGAUCUGGGCCCUGGUGUCCAAAAUAGUUUGGGUAUGAGAGAAGGUGCAUUCGUGACCCAGCUUAUUCAAUGAAACAACGAGACAUGUGAAUAGUGAGCCUCUGUUCACUCCUCAUGGUAUUCUCCUCUUUCACCUUCACGUGCUGUGCCCAGGAGAGACAAUUACUCAUAAUUUAGUGUUCAUUAUUUCCAUUCAUUCCUGUGUACUUAACUUUGUGUGUGUAUAUAUUUCCAUUCCUAUAUAUAUAUUCCAUCCCUAAAUAUAUAUAUAUUUCCAUUACCA